CACUAGGGCCCACUGACUGUCUACUCUUGGAAGGACAGGUUCCACUGGGGACUCCUGUGGGUUACUCUGCCCUUCUAGGCCAUCCUUAUCCUCCAGAUCCUCUCAUGUGUUCCCUCCAGACCAGCAAGGGAAAUUCAGGGGGUUCAGAGAGGAGAGCAUGGUGGAAGGUGCCCAGGAGCCCACAGGAGAGAGUGGGAUAGGAGUCAGGGGCUCCUCGCCUAAAACCAGAGCAGUUGUAAUUAGCCCAGGAGGUAAACACCACCCCAGAGUUUCCCACACAGCCUGGAGCAUAGUUCAGGGCAGACACCCAGGGCCCGACAGCUAUACCGCAGAGAAAUCCACCAUUAGGCAGGGCGUCUAGACAGAAGUCACACAGCCAGGGGAGGCCUGAGGACUGAGAACACGAUUAGGGAGAGAAAGCCUGGCCUGGUCCAAGGUCCAAAGUGACCCUGAUAUGGGCGGCUGCAGACUCGGGACCCCCCCAGAGAAGCACAUGUCCAGGGCUCCUGGCUGUUCCAGGGAAACUCCUCUCCCCUCCCCACUGCAUAAGGAUCCUCAACCUCAUUUUCCACCCGUCCCUGAGCUGUGGAUGGCUCCCUGGCCUCAGUGGCCUCCUUCUCCUCUGAAUUUCCUAAAGACGCAGUAACAGACCCCAAUGUAUACAUGUGGGGAGCUUGCAGACUCAGGGUCUUGGACAGCUGUGGGUACAAAAGCCAUACCUGCUCCUCACCUUGCAAAGUGGCAGAACCCAGUCCCGGGCCACCCAGAUAGUGCUGUGACCCUGCUCUCCACAGCUCUGUCCCCAGCUGCUGAGCAGAGAAGCUGCCGUGAAGCUUAUGCAGGAGUUACUGCCUGUGUCUCAGGGUCCCCUGCACCUUCUUUCCCCAACAAGGUUACAAAUGGCGGGUAGAAAUCUGACUUCUCCAACACAGGUGUUUGGAAAUCAGUAUCAGUCCAGCUCUUCUGUUUCUGUAACUUGAGACUCAAAUAGUCCGGAUGAUCCCUGACCAUUUUAAAUGAUGAAAGGGGCCAAGUAGCUUAACAAGUGUGAACCCUGGACUGUGGGGCAGGAGGAAGUGCACUGUGAUCCAAGCACGUCCCUCAUCUGUGCACGGGUUGGACCCACGGCCACGAGGCCUCCGGGCCCAGUUAGGGGAAGGUGUGGGCGUGAUUAGUCUUUAGAGGUGUGAGCAAUAGGCAUUAGGGUUGGCUUCGCAGGGAGGGAGACGUCUGAGGGGGUCUAGUCCCUGAGUCAGAACCUCAACUAGAGCACAGUGGAUUGUGGGGGGUGAGACCCGAGCCUUGGAGGGCGUGGAGCGCAGCUGGGUCUGGUCUGGAGUGAGCUGGGACCACUGAGCUGAGGUGACUGGCUCGAGGUGACUCCUGGUUUGCGUGGCUAAGUGUGAGCGGUGGGUCCAGAUUGUUUGCUAAGCCUUGGUUUUGAGCCUGGGGAGCUGAGAAGUGGGGAGAGUGGGGGUUCAUCUGAGGUGUGGGGAGAUGUCUGUGCAGAGAUGCCUGAUGACCAGCCGCACUUUCAGGUAACCUGGGCUGGAGAUGGGGGCCCCUGGAAGACAGUACCUGGAGGUGCUGGGCGUGGGACAGUGAAGGGAGAGUGGACAGGGUGGAGGGGGAGAGCUUAGGUCCAGACCCAGGGGCAGGGGCCCAAGGUUGAUGAAGAAGGAGCAGCCUCAGAAGAUGGGGGCAGGACAAGGCAGUAAGGGGUGGGAGACUUCAGAGGGCAGGGAAGAGAGGUGGGGUCACAAAGAUGGCCUUGAGGAACUGGGCAGGGUCAGUGCAGGGGAUUCCAGGGAUAGGAUUAAUGGGGAGAGGCCACAAGGAAGGACAGGGCGGGAGCAAGGCUGGGAGAGGGCUGGGCAUGGGUACAGUCCCAGCUUCCUUGUAAAGAUGGGGAAACUGAGUGUGUGUAGUGCUGCCUAGUCACAGGCCAGGCCCCAAUGCCAUCAUAGUGGGAGCCUCCAAAUUCAGAAGAACUAUGCAGGCAGGGGCAGGGCAAGGCCUGACCCAGGGUCAGAGGGCACUCCAGGGGUCUUCUCCCCGGGAUCCUCUUUAUGUCGUCCUGAGAGCCCCUACCUCCAGCUUCCCAGGAUUACAACAUGCAGGGCGUGGUGCUGUUGAAGUGAGACUUUUUAAAUGGUGAGCGCCAGGAGGGAAACACAUUCUGCCCUGCCCAUGAGACGGCGCUGGAGCUGCUGGAGUGGGUGGCCCCCACCCGGAGAAGGCCCUCUUUGGACAGUUCGAGUGCUCAGAGACCUGCAGGCCAUGGCUCUUCCUGGGGCAUUAAAAAUCCCCCCGCAAGCCCGACAGACAGAAAACCCGGCGCAGGAGCGCCAGAGCGUGGAAACGCGCUGUACCGCAGGCCUGGAUGGGCAGACUGGAGCCCAAACACAGGACCAGGUAUCCGGAGUGAGCGGGCUUCCCCACCGGCACCCGCCCGGCAAGAUCGGGUGACUCUCGGGGACCGGCACGGCCGCUCCGGGCCCGGCCAGGCUCGCGGCCCCUGCCUGAUUCCAGGGCUGGCUCUCCGGGGCUGCGCGCGGUGCUCUCGGACGGGACCGCGGGGCAACUGACACUGAACGCGCCCCUUCCACAGGGAAGACCGCGGAG
Molecule: long non-coding RNA, 2625 nt
Organism: Myotis brandtii (Brandt's bat)
Lineage: Eukaryota; Metazoa; Chordata; Mammalia; Chiroptera; Vespertilionidae
Exons: 3
Source: RefSeq, a predicted model, not a curated record